CAGAUGUUGCAUUCAAGCUGAGAUGUGUUUGUGUGGCGAGCCUCCUUCAUUGUUCAGGUAAAGGAAACAAAUGACAGUCGUGUACCGGUGCCUCGGGUGGACCAAACCUCACGAACCGUCAGUAAAUCGCUGGGAAAUUGCGUUACCCAGAGCUAUAUUUCUCUCUGAAGUCUUCAUGAGUUGUCCAGUCGUACCUUUAACCCGGAGACUUUUAAUAAACCUUCAAACACA
Molecule: long non-coding RNA, 231 nt
Organism: Scylla paramamosain (green mud crab)
Lineage: Eukaryota; Metazoa; Arthropoda; Malacostraca; Decapoda; Portunidae
Exons: 2
Source: RefSeq, a predicted model, not a curated record